AAUCGGGCCUAGCAUAGGAAACCACACAGAAAAGUCUAGUUUGCCUCCCUGCUACAGUGUCGUCCCUAACCUCCAGCCGGCUGCCUAGCUGAGCCCGAGCCGCGCGCCGCGUCGCCUUUCCGCCUCCAAGUCCGCUCCAAUCCGACCCCGUUUCUUCCGGAUUUUUGAGGGGUUUUGAUCCUCUCAUCCUCCUCUAUCUUUUCCCCCAAGAAUCGGAGCAAAUCGUUGGGUAUUUUAUCCGAAUCAAACUCGUUUUCGAGUUUAUCUCCAAAACCGAGUUUUGAUUUUCCCGGAUCGAUUUCUUGCGGGAGGAGUCCGAUCUCUUCAAUCCAAGGCUAUAAAUAGGACCCCCUAGUCCUCCUCUUUCGUUUGCCCCCUCUCCCGUCCUCUCCCGUGACCCGUAGAGCCGUCGCCACCGUGCAAGCCGCCGCCGCCGUCGCUUCUUCGUCGCCGGCCGUCAUCCGUCGUCGUUCGUCGCGUUGGUGAGUACCAUCGGGUUCGUCUCGUCGUCCUCUACGUGUACAUGCCCUCCUUUUCCGCAGCCGGCCGCUCUAUCUCCGGCGAGGUCGCCAUCUUGGUUCGGCCAUGGGUGAUGUCAGCAUGACGUCAUCGGUUUAUCUUUUUCCCGUAGAUUAAAUCUUCGGAAAAUCAUAACUAAAUAACCAUAGAUCCGUUUCAGGUGGUUCAAGUUGCUAAAUUUUUCUAAAAUAAAGAUCUACAUAUUAAAAUUAUCCAUAAAUUGAAUUAAAUUUAUUUAAUUCUUUUUAAAUGGGCUUUAAUUAGAUUUAAUCUUGUAAAAUUCAUAAUAAAUUCAUUUGAAGUCAGAAUGAGGCCGUUCAAGUCUCAUAAUUCAUCUAAAAUUAUGAUCUACAUGUUUGUUUAUUUUUUAUAUACUGUUUAUUUGGUUUUUAUUAGUCUUUUUCUUCGUUUUGCGUGUUAGCUUGUCGUUUCCGUCGUUGCGAAGGUUCGUGAGUGCGUCGGAAGUGAUCAAGAAGAUUAAUUGAAGACCGAUUAUUGCAAGGCAAGUCACACAGAUCCUAAACACAAUCCUUUGAGCAUGUUGAUCCUAUAUUUAAAUUCUCUAUUUGUUUCAACUGUGCAUUUAUUUUCGAAUGUCACCGGGUGGUGUGAACCUAUUCCUUUGUUAUGGCCAAUUUGCAUUGAAUGCCCUAUUCCUUGAUACCUUGGGUAAUAAAUUGAUUAGCUUGAACCUUAUGUAUUGGUUUGGUUCAGCUAAAAGUUAUAUAUAUAAUUGCUUAGCAAUGCUUAGAAACAUUAGCUCACUAAUGGGAUGAAUCAUAUAUACUACAUUAUUAUUUAUGGUUAUAUUUAAUGGUAGCUCACGAUGGUUAAUCGUGUGAUGUUAAUUAAUUGAUAAUUAAAACCUGGUUAAGGUGGGUUGUGAGCAUAUGGUUUUGAUGGUUGUGCUCAUGACAAUUAAGGACCGGUUCGCGAGCUACUGUUGUGAGACAUUAACCGUACCAACCACAAGC
Molecule: long non-coding RNA, 1493 nt
Filed under: Oryza sativa (Asian cultivated rice)
Lineage: Eukaryota; Viridiplantae; Streptophyta; Magnoliopsida; Poales; Poaceae
Description: long non-coding RNA (OSAT_LNC001472)
Source: RNAcentral